CCCUUAGAUGUUCUGGGCGGCCCGCGCACUACAUUGGCACUGGCAACAAGAUCCUAGAUCUGAUAUUUCGGGGUAUUCUACCAACUGGUGUCGUGACUGGGAUUAACCCCUGCAAUUAUUGGUUAUGAACGAGGAAUUCCUUGUAAUCACGGUUUAUCAACCCGUGUUGAAUGCGUCCCUGCCCUUUGUACACACCGCCCGUCGCUCCUACCGAUGAAUCGUCCCGUGAAGUUCAUGGAGUCGCGGCUGCUCCAGCUGUUUUCGAAGUGAAAUGGACCUCAUGAUUUAGAGGAAGGAGAAGUCGUANCA
RNAcentral lists this ribosomal RNA (309 nucleotides) under uncultured eukaryote. RNAcentral describes it as "partial 18S ribosomal RNA". It matches the Rfam family "Eukaryotic small subunit ribosomal RNA", at positions 1470 to 1796 of the family's 1831-position model. The record is from RNAcentral.